This 67-nucleotide transfer RNA is filed under the name Coryphella verrucosa. RNAcentral describes it as "tRNA-Gly". Lineage: Eukaryota; Metazoa; Mollusca; Gastropoda; Nudibranchia; Coryphellidae. The record is from RNAcentral.
CUUUAGUAAGUAUAGGUUUUGUACAUUUGCCUUCCAAGCAAAAAGACUGCUAAGUUCAGACUAAAGA